This 72-nucleotide transfer RNA is filed under the name Ovis aries (sheep). It matches the Rfam family "tRNA". Rfam says of the family: Transfer RNA (tRNA) molecules are approximately 80 nucleotides in length. Their secondary structure includes four short double-helical elements and three loops (D, anti-codon, and T loops). The record is from Rfam by way of RNAcentral. Lineage: Eukaryota; Metazoa; Chordata; Mammalia; Artiodactyla; Bovidae.
UCCCUGAUGGCUCAGAUGGUAAAGCAUCUGCCUGCAAUGCAGGAGACCCAGGUUCAAUUCCUGGGUCGGGAA